Molecule: transfer RNA, 69 nt
Filed under: Macrotus waterhousii (Waterhouse's leaf-nosed bat)
Lineage: Eukaryota; Metazoa; Chordata; Mammalia; Chiroptera; Phyllostomidae
Description: tRNA-Thr
Rfam family: tRNA
About the family: Transfer RNA (tRNA) molecules are approximately 80 nucleotides in length. Their secondary structure includes four short double-helical elements and three loops (D, anti-codon, and T loops). Further hydrogen bonds mediate the characteristic L-shaped molecular structure. tRNAs have two regions of fundamental functional importance: the anti-codon, which is responsible for specific mRNA codon recognition, and the 3' end, to which the tRNAs corresponding amino acid is attached (by aminoacyl-tRNA synthetases). tRNAs cope with the degeneracy of the genetic code in two manners: having more than one tRNA (with a specific anti-codon) for a particular amino acid; and 'wobble' base-pairing, i.e. permitting non-standard base-pairing at the 3rd anti-codon position.
Source: RNAcentral
GUCUGUGUAGUAUAUUAUUAAUUACACUGGUCUUGUAAACCAGAAAAGGAAAUAAACCCCCCAUAGACU